AAUACUAUGUAUGGGCUUAUGUGGUCUGGGUAUGGGCUUCUAUGGGGUGUCAUGGAUUCUAUGGCUUCUAUUGGGGUUCUUAUGGGGAUCCAUUGGGUGGUUAUGGGGCUCUAUGGGGUGUCUAUGGGGCUCUAUGGGGGGACGGGAGCCGUGUAUGUCUGUAGGGUCGGGAAGGAGCUGGGCUGUAUACAGGUGGGUCUAUGGGGCUCUAUGGGGUGGUUAUGGGGUUUUAUGGGGUUAUAUGGGGUCCUAUGGGGCUCUAUGGGUUCUUAUGGGGAUCCAUUGGGAGGUUAUGGGGCUCUAUGGGGUGGGUUAUGGGGCUCUCUGGGGUGUCUAUGGGGCUCUAUGUGGUUCUUAUGGGGUGUCUAUGGGGUUCUAUGGGGUGUCUAUGGGGCUCUAUGGGGGGACGGGAGCCGUGUAUGUCUGUAGGGUCGGGAAGGAGCUGGGCUGUAUACAGGUGGGUCUAUGGGGUGCCUAAGGGGCUCUAUGGGGUGUCUAUGGGCCUCUAUGGGGUUUCUAUGGGGCUCUAUGGGGCUCUAUGGGGUCUCUAUGGGUCUCUAUGUGUCCCUAUGGGUCCCUAUGUGUCUCUAUGGGGUCUCUAUGGGUCUCUAUGGGGUUCUAUGGGGUGGUUAUGGGGUCUCUAUGUGUCCCUAUGUGUCUCUAUGGGGUUUCUAUGGGGUUUCCGGUUGUGCCCCAUAGCGCAUCGAGGGCCGCGUGUUGUCUAUGGGGCUGCGGCACUUUGGGACGGCGCUGGAUGGGACCCACGACCUCAAUGGGGACGGGGGGCCAGACGUGGCUGUGGGGGCCAUGGGGCAGGCACUCAUCUUCAGGUAUGGGGCGGUUAUGGGGUGGUUAUGGGUCAGUUAUGGGGCUGGUUAUGGGGCAGGCACUCAUCUUCAGGUAUGGGGUCACUUAUGGGGCUGGUUAUGGGGCUGGCUAUGGGGCAGGCACUCAUCUUCAGGUAUGGGGCGGUUAUGGGGUGGUUAUGGGGUCAGUUAUGGGGCUGGUUAUAGGGUCACUUAUGGGGUGGUUAUGGGGCUGGUUAUGGGGUUGGUUAUAGGGUCAGUUAUGGGGCUGGUUAUGGGUCAGUUAUGGGGCUGGUUAUGGGGCUGGUUAUGGGGUCAGUUCUGGGGCUGGUUAUGGGGCUGGUUAUGGGGCUGGUUAUGGGUCAUUUAUGGGGCUGGUUAUGGGUCAGUUAUGGGGCUGGUUAUGGGUCAGUUAUGGGUCAGUUAUGGGGCUGGCUAUGGGGUCAGUUAUGGGGCUGGUUAUGGGGCUGGUUAUGGGGCUGGUUAUGGGGUUGGUUAUGGGGCUGGUUAUGGGGUCAGUUAUGGGGCUGGUUAUGGGUUCGGUUAUGGGGCGGUUAUGGGGCUGGUUAUAGGGUCACUUAUGGGGUGGUUAUGGGGCUGGUUAUGGGGCUGGUUAUGGGACGGUUAUGGGGCUGUUUAUGGGGUCAGUUAUGGGGCUGGUUAUGGGUUCGGUUAUGGGUCAGUUAUGGGGCUGGUUAUGGGGUCAAUUAUGGGGUCAAUUGUGAAGCUGGUUAUGGGGCUGAUUAUGGGGAUGGUUAUGGGGCUGGUUAUGGGGCUGGUUAUGGGGUCAGUUAUGGGGCUGGUUAUGGGUCAGUUAUGGGGUCACUUAUGGAGCUGGUUAUGGGUCAGUUAUGGGGUCACUUAUGGAGCUGGUUAUGGGGCUGGAUAUGGGGCCGGUUAUGGGGCAGGCUAUGGGGCAGGCACUCAUCUUCAGGUUUGGGGCGGUUAUGGGGUGGUUAUGGGGUCAGUUAUGGGGCUGGUUAUGGGGCUGGAUAUGGGGCCGGUUAUGGGGUCGGUUAUGGGGCUGGUUAUGGGGUUGGUUAUGGGGUCAGUUAUGGGGCUGGUUAUGGGUCAGUUAUGGGUCAGUUAUGGGGCUGGUUAUGGGGCUGGUUAUGGGGUCAGUUAUGGGGCUGGUUAUGAGAUAGUUAUGGGGAUGGUUAUGGGGUCAGUUAUGGGGCUGGUUAUGGGUCAGUUAUGGGUCAGUUAUGGGGCUGGUUAUGGGNGUUAUGGGUCAGUUAUGGGGCUGGUUAUGGGUCAGUUAUGGGUCAGUUAUGGGGCUGGUUAUGGGGUUUCCGUUCCAACUUCCUGUUUCGGUUCCCGCAGCUCCCGCCCGGUGGUGUCGGUGUCGGCCAUCUUGUCGGUUCCGGUUCGUCGCCUCCCCCACUCGUGGGGUCGAUGUGGGGCAGGAGGCGUCGCCGUGGGGCUGCGGCUCUGCUUCCAAACCGAGCUCAGCAGCAACACGUACCGAGGUCGCCUCCUCGUCCCCAUCCAUUUCCUCUUCCGGGUCGACUCUCAGCGCCAUUGGCCACGUGGUCAAUUCACUUCCGGGUCAACCACGUGGGAGGACCGGAUGUUGUUGGAAGGGGGAGAGCGGUGCGUCAACAACACGGUCCUCCUGCAGCCGUGCCCCGAGGACUCGCUGACCCCAAUGAGGCUGGCCGUCAAUUACUCCCUGGACCCCGAAUACCCCACAGACCCCACAGACGACCCCAUUGCCGUCAUAGACCCCAUAACCAACUCGGCCUGGAUUGAGGUGCCGUACGAGCAGCGCUGCGGCUCGGCCGGGCUGUGUGACCCGAUGUGA
RNAcentral lists this long non-coding RNA (2610 nucleotides) under Coturnix japonica (Japanese quail). RNAcentral describes it as "lncRNA (ENSCJPG00005005935.1)". Lineage: Eukaryota; Metazoa; Chordata; Aves; Galliformes; Phasianidae. The record is from RNAcentral.